GCACAAGAGUCAGUCGAUCCUAAGCCCUAGGAGAAAUCCGAAGCGAUAUGCGCCCGUUAAAUAAUUUUUUUUUAUUAAAUGUUUGGCGCUAUCUGGGCGAAAGGGAAUCCGGUUCCUAUUCCGGAACCCGGCAGCGGAACCGUUCCAAAUCGGGCUCUCAUUUGAGAACUCGUCGGGGUAACCCGACAAGACCCGGAGACGCCGUAGGGAAAUUCGGAGAGAGUUGUCUCUUCUCUAUAAGCGUUCGAGUUCCCUGGAAACCUCUAGCAGGGAGAUAGGGUUUGGAACGCGAAGAGCACCGCAGUUACGGCGGUGUCCGGAUCUUCCCUACGGACCUUGAAAAUCCGGGAGAGGGCCACGAGGAACCCCGCGCCGGCUCGUACCCAUAUCCGCAGCAGGUCUCCAAGGUCAAUAGCCUCUAGUCGAUAGAAUAAUGUAGGUAAGGGAAGUCGGCAAAUCCGAUCCGUAACUUCGGGAUAAGGAUUGGCUCUGAGGACUGAGUCGUGCCGGGCUUGGUCGGGAAGUGGAGCGGUGUCAACGUGCCGGGCCUGGGCGAGGAGAAAAUUGCGUUUCUGCGCUUUUGGAUCCGAGCUCGGUCCCGUGCCGCUAUAGAAAUCAGAGUACGUAUAGCCAUCAUAAGAUGGAAGUGCCUUCCGCUAGGAGGCGCGGCUGACCAGAGCUAAAGUAGAGUUUGCCUUCUCUACGAUCUGGGAGUGAGGCCAACGUAGUUGGCUCCACGCGCUGGUUUGAGCGUGAUCUCAACCCGCCUCUUUGGAGGCCAAGCGGGGGAGUGCCUGGGUGGCAUUUCUGCCACGAGGAGGCCUAGCACACCAGCCUCUCCGUGGUGGUGACAUCCUUCUCUUGUAAAACGACCUUGUGCUUGCACAGGGGGUCUGGUAUAUCCGAAAGGAUAGGAACGGACCUAAAAGAACCCCUAGUACUAGACAGGAACGGGUAGACGGGAAAGAAUGUCCCUAUCUACUAUCUAGCGAAACCACGGCCAAGGGAACGGGCUUGGAAAAAUCAGCGGGGAAAGAAGACCCUGUUGAGCUUGACUCUAGUCUGGUACUGUAAGAAAACAUGAGAGGUGUAGCAUAAGUGGGAGGUAGUUUUUUUAAACUGCCGACAAUGAAAUACCACUACUUUCAUUGUUUCCUUACUUACUCGGUGAGGCGGAGGGCGUCCGUCGGGGUGAUACCACCUCGGCGUGACGGUAUUCUCGUGCCAAACGCCAAGGGUUGUCGACGUUCGAUCGUACGCCUUGUCGCGUUUAAGAUGUGGAUAUUCCUAAACGGAAUUGAUGCGUCUUAUUCGUUGUGCAAUGGCCGGAUU
This 1332-nucleotide non-coding RNA is filed under the name Rhodnius prolixus. Its description in RNAcentral is "Eukaryotic large subunit ribosomal RNA". It matches the Rfam family "Eukaryotic large subunit ribosomal RNA", at positions 1526 to 2591 of the family's 3401-position model. Lineage: Eukaryota; Metazoa; Arthropoda; Insecta; Hemiptera; Reduviidae. The record is from Rfam by way of RNAcentral.